This 490-nucleotide ribosomal RNA is filed under the name uncultured Corynebacterium sp. RNAcentral's name for it is "bacterial SSU rRNA". It matches the Rfam family "Bacterial small subunit ribosomal RNA", at positions 9 to 507 of the family's 1533-position model. Lineage: Bacteria; Bacillati; Actinomycetota; Actinomycetes; Mycobacteriales; Corynebacteriaceae. The record is from RNAcentral.
GAGUUUGACUCCGUGGCUCAGGACGACGCUGGCGGCGUGCUUAACACAUGCAAGUCGAACGGAAAGGCCCUGCUUGCAGGGUACUCGAGUGGCGAACGGGUGAGUAACACGUGGGUGAUCUGCCCUGCACUUCGGGAUAAGCCUGGGAAACUGGGUCUAAUACCGGAUAGGAGCCAGUUUUUAGUGUGAUGGUUGGAAAGGUUUUUUCGGUGUAGGAUGAGCUCGCGGCCUAUCAGCUUGUUGGUCGGGGUAAUGGCCUACCAAGGCGGCGACGGGUAGCCGGCCUGAGAGGGUGGACGGCCACAUUGGGACUGAGAUACGGCCCAGACUCCUACGGGAGGCAGCAGUGGGGAAUAUUGCACAAUGGGCGCAAGCCUGAUGCAGCGACGCCGCGUGGGGGGAUGACGGCCUUCGGGUUGUAAACUCCUUUUCGCUAGGGACGAAGCUUUUUGUGACGGUACCUAGAUAAGAAGCACCGGCUAACUACGUG